Perognathus longimembris pacificus (Pacific pocket mouse) is the source of this 105-nucleotide small nuclear RNA. The record is from RefSeq and is a predicted model, not a curated record. NCBI's taxonomy places the organism in Eukaryota, Metazoa, Chordata, Mammalia, Rodentia, Heteromyidae.
UCACUUUGUGGCAGUACAUAUGUUGAAAUUGGAACAACAUAGAGAAGAUUAGCAUGUCCCCUAUGCAAGAAUGACAUGAAAAUUUGUGAAGUGCUCUGUGUUUAU